UGUUCAAUGUGAUUUUCUAAAAGGUCAUUUCUGGUAAACCCUUGAAGACAAUAAUGACAAAAAUAGGUCUUAUGAUGUGUCUUUUUUGUUCUAGAUAAAAACGUAUCUACGUUACUAAUGAGACAAUAAUGACUUUUCUCACCCAGUUUUAAAUACAAUAAAUUUACAUGGUGACAUACUUGCCGCAAUUUCGUAACAUACAUUGGGAAAAUAUCCUUAUCCUCAUAUCGAAACACAUUCACAGAAAUAUCAUUUUGUCUUUCAAACUUUUCUAUCUGUGAUAUCUUUACGGGAAAAAGAAUUCCAGACAUGUCCAGUUCGCGUUCGUAUGGUAAGUAAUUAGUCACCCGUUCUGGAAUCUCGGAGGUUGGGUGGAGAUGGGCCAAGAUGGACCAUAGAAAGCACUUUUCAUCUUGGUUGAUGAUGUUGAUAACACUGGCAUGAUGAAAUGUUGCAGGCGUCGGUAAGUAUGAAGAACCACUCAAUGGUGAGUAGUUAGCGGUACUUAUUUCCAGUUUUACUAUUUUUUUAAGUCUCCAGUUUGAUCCCUCCCUCAAGUACUCUUGAAAAGAUACAAACAUUUUCUGGUAGGCUUCAUUUAAAUUAUGAAGAGAAAAAGUUUCACUUGGUAAAAAUGUAUAAUUUUUACUUCGAAAAUGAGGAAAGGAUUGCUGUUUGUUUCCUUCUUUAUCCUCCUUUCCAAGUUCUACUUGAAUACAAACAUACCAUUUAAUUCCUCGUAGGGAACGACACUGUUCUGUGAUGUGUUCUGCUACUUCAUCCCUCGUAUUGCUAAAAAAAUGAUUGGGUCCUCUCCUGGUAAUAUCCGAGUGCGAAGUGGUGGCAGUUCUGUCGGACCAUCUAUAAUAUUCAAUUGUGGACUGUGUGGGCUAACAUCAACAAAAAGAUAUCCAUAUCUUUUGGACACGGCAGAAAGAGCUACCUGCUAGCUGUAUCGUUGCAGGGCAGACAAUUGGAAUCAGACUGGUCUGUGACAUGGUUCAAGAAUGAAUGAAAGCAUCGUUUAUUUCAAAAUAGCCCGGAUAUUCAGCAUAGACAAUGCAGCUGAUGGUUUUGGAUAGUGCACUUUCAAAUGUAACCUCCACUCUGACGUUUCCUGGUUUUA
This is a long non-coding RNA of Pecten maximus, 1126 nucleotides long. RefSeq lists it as uncharacterized. NCBI's taxonomy places the organism in Eukaryota, Metazoa, Mollusca, Bivalvia, Pectinida, Pectinidae. The record is from RefSeq and is a predicted model, not a curated record. The transcript is spliced from 4 exons.